This 239-nucleotide ribosomal RNA is filed under the name uncultured bacterium. RNAcentral's name for it is "partial 16S ribosomal RNA". It matches the Rfam family "Bacterial small subunit ribosomal RNA", at positions 95 to 334 of the family's 1533-position model. The record is from RNAcentral.
CCGGCGCACGGGUGAGUAACGCGUAUCCAACCUGCCCACCACUUGGGGAUAACCUUGCGAAAGUAAGACUAAUACCCAAUGAUAUCUCUAGAAGACAUCUGAAAGAGAUUAAAGAUUUAUCGGUGAUGGAUGGGGAUGCGUCUGAUUAGCUUGUUGGCGGGGUAACGGCCCACCAAGGCAACGAUCAGUAGGGGUUCUGAGAGGAAGGUCCCCCACAUUGGAACUGAGACACGGACCAG